AUGUUGAUUAAAGACCUCUUUAGAAGGGAGAUAUUGUUUUACCAGCCACUGUUCAGUGGUACCAAUGUCCACUAAUAAUCACACCACCAAGUCCGCCAUGGUGUAGUAGUGUGUAGUAGUGUGUAGCCGUGUAUAGUAGUGUGUAGCAGUGUGUAGUAGUGUGUAGUAGUGUGUAGUAAUGUGUGGUAGUGUGUAGAAAUGUUCAGUAGUGUUUAGUAGUGUGUAGUAGUGUGUAGUAGUGUGUAGUAGUGUGUAGAAAUGUUCAGUAGUGUAUAGUAGUGUAUAGUAGUGUGUAGUAGUGUAUAGUAGUGUGUAGUAGUGUGUGGUAGUGUGUAGUAGUGUGUAGUAGUGUUUAGUAGGCCAUAGUAGUGUGUAGUAGUGUAUAGUAGUGUAUAGUAGGCCAUAGUAGUGUGUAGUAGUGUAUAGUAGUGUGUAGUAGUGUGUAGAAAUGUUCAGUAGUGUGUAGAAAUGUAUAGCAGUGUGUAGUAGUGUUUAGUAGGCCAUAGUAGUGUGUAGUAGUGUGUAGUAGUGUGUAGUAGGCCAUAGUAGUGUGUAGUAGUGUGUAGUAGUGUUUAGUAGUGUGUAGUAGUGUGUAGUAGUGUGUAGUAGUGUGUAGCAGUGUAUAGUAGUGUUUAGUAGUGUGUAGCAGUGUAUAGUAGUGUUUAGUAGUGUGUAGUAGUGUUUAGUAGUCCAUAGUAGUGUGUAGUACUGUGUAGUAGGCCAUAGUAGUGUGUAGUAGUGUGUAGUACUGUGUAGUAGGCCAUAGUAGUGUGUAGUAGUAUAUAGCAGUGUAUAGUAGUGUAUAGUAGUGUGUAGUAGUAUAUAGCAGUGUAUAGUAGUGUAUAGUAGUAUAUAGCAGUGUGUAGUAGUAUAUAGUAGUGUAUAGUAGUGUAGUGUAGUAGUGUAUAGUAGUGUAUUGUAGUGUGUAGUAGUGUGUAGUAGUGUGUAGUAGUAUAUAGUAGUGUAUAGUAGUGUAUAGUAGUGUAUAGUAGUGUAUAUUAGUGUAUUGUAGUGUAUAGUAGUGUAUUGUAGUGUGUAGUAGUGUGUAGCAGUGUGUAGUAGCAUAUAGUAGUGUGUAGUAGUAUGUAGUAGGCCAUAGUAGUGUAUAGUAGUGUGUAGUAGUGUAUAGUAGUGUGUAGUAGUGUGUAGUAGUGUAUAGUAGUGUAUAGUAGUGUGUAGUAGUGUGUAGUAGGCCAUAGCAGUGUAUAGUAGUGUAUUGUAGUGUGUAGUAGUGUAUAGCAGUGUGUAGUAAGAGUCUUCCCUGUAGCUCAGUUGGUAGAGCAUGGUGUUUGCAACGCCAGGGUUGUGGAUUCGAUUCCCACGGGGGACCAGUACGGGGAAAAAAAUUUAUGAAAUGUAUGCAUUCACUACUGUUAAUCGCUCUGGAUUAGAGCGUCUGCUA
This 1402-nucleotide transfer RNA is filed under the name Salmo salar (Atlantic salmon). Its description in RNAcentral is "lncRNA (ENSSSAG00000083932.1)". The stretch from base 1258 to 1330 matches the Rfam family "tRNA". The record is from RNAcentral. Lineage: Eukaryota; Metazoa; Chordata; Actinopteri; Salmoniformes; Salmonidae.